AUGCUCACUAAUGGAUAUUAAAACAUGGUAGAUUAAUGAGAGCCUGAUAGACCAUGCAGCUGAAAAAACACAUUUUAUUUUGACAGCCAGGCAAUCAAGAGCUACCCAGGGAUUAAAGAGCAAUUCAGAUUAAAUUACCCUCUCCAUUAGGACAUCCUUUCCUUGGUAAAUCCUGAGCUGGAGGAGAGGGGCAAAGAGACACUGUGGCCACCAGAGGCAUUUCUUCAACCUGAGGUUUGCAGGCACAGACUUAAAGGGCCUACUUAGGUUUUAUGCCCUGGCGGGUUAACCAAACACAGGCCAACAGGAGAAAGAGUGCUGGAAUUUUGGAUCAGCAGGGGUUGGAAGUCAUGAGGAGCUUGGAUGGCGGGGAGUGAAGGGGCCGCUGCGUGAUCCAGCGGCCAGUAUAGCAGUGAAGUGUAUUUUCAUCGUUGCGUUGUUAUUUAUUCUCUGGGGUAGUUAUGUACUGCGUGAAUUUAACUCAGCUGGGGCUACACUUCCCAGGUUCCCUCUUCUGUCUGAUUCCUCGUCAGGGUUGGUUGCAGGAGAAGUUUGUGAGAGAUUUGGAAGGUGAACAUGAAGCAGCAGCCAACUUGAUGCUCUGAGGGUGGAAAGAACAUAGUGGCGGCCGGCAUGCACUGCCCCUCACGUGCCGUCUCACCUUCCAGGCUCAGCAAGACCCCGGACCGCCGGGUCCGCUGACUCCCAUCGAGUCUCCCCCAUGGGCACCUCUGUGGCAGAGGAUGCCAGCUCUUCCUUCAUGCCACAGUGAAUUUUCAGUGGUCAGAGACAGAUGUGGGAGGUCCAGGGUGUGUCUGUGGGUUCCAGCUUAUGUGUGUGGGGUCCAGCCUUUCACUGCCCUCUCCCACAUUGCACACAGCUUCCCUGGAAGACCACCCGCCUGCUGACUUAAUAGUGGUGACUUCAGGGACAACACCAGAGGGAAUCACCCUGUAUAGACUCUCCUCUAACCUCCAGGUCUAAUUUUAUCAACACUUAUACUAUUCUAAAUGCCUCAUAGUGGUCCUGCUUCUUGGGUCAGAUUCCCAGUGACACCCAGAUGAUGUGCAGUAGAUUAACGUCUGGGGCUGUUACCAAAGCAAACCCGGGUCUGUUUGCCUACAUGCAGUAAAGCCAGUCUGCUGCUGCUGCUGCUGCGUCACUUCAGUUGUGUCCAACUCUGUGCGACCCCAGAGAUGGCAGCCCACCUGGCUCCCCCGUCCCUGGGAUUACUCCAGAAAGAGAGGUAGAAGGUGAAAAUAGGGUUCAGUGCUUGUUUUGCGGCAGCAAUUAUAGAGGCAUCGUAUACCGCAAGCAGUAAGAGCAACCCCAUCAGCCUCCUUCCCUGAGAACCACAGUUGGCAGCUCAGCAUUAAGCCCCAAGGCUUUGAACUGUGUCUCCGACCAUCUGGGCUGGCUCUCGAUUCAUUUUGUGCAUCCUUUAGCAAGAUGAGAUCUAAGGGGAUGUAUGCAGUUCUUCUCUGACUUUAGGAGGAGAGGCUAGCAGUGGCUCAGCUAACU
Bos taurus (domestic cattle) is the source of this 1521-nucleotide long non-coding RNA. The record is from Ensembl. NCBI's taxonomy places the organism in Eukaryota, Metazoa, Chordata, Mammalia, Artiodactyla, Bovidae.